GGGAGAAGCCGUACAAAAAGCACUUCCCCAUUCAGCACAGACAACCUCAUUUAUUUUUGAUCAAUGCUUUAAUAGCUAAAUGUUCACAAGCACCACUAUACAUUUGUUUUCACAAAAUUACUUGAUACAUAUAGUAUACAGUAGGAUUAUCAAUAAUAAGAAAACAAAGAUUAACCAUCUUAGAGUUUCAUCUCCCAUAAGUGUAGUGAUAGAAACUGACACAUUACCACAGAAUGUCCCCCCAUUUUGAACUGAUGCUCCCAGUCCUUUAUACCUGAUUAUCUUGAUUCUGCUAAUGUGAUCUAACUCUCUCUCUCCCUGUCCCUCAGCAGCUCACAACAGUUCGACUUCAAUACAAACCAUGUUCCCUGCAUCUCUGCUGCUUCUGGCAGUUGCCUCCUGUGGCUACUGUGUUGUUGAACUUAUCCAGUCUGGUCCAGUGGUUAGAAAACCAGGAGAGUCUCAGCAUUAUAUUCUCAAUGUCCUCGCUGGAUAUGACAAGCUGAAGGCAAAGCUUUGGAGUAUGUUGGUUAUACAUGUAUUAGUAGUACCUCCACUGUAGACUCACUGAAGAUCAAGAUCAGUUCUAUAUACAACAGCUCCAGCAGUACAGCGUUUCUACAAGGGAACAACUUCCAGACUGAAGACACAGCUGUUUAUUACUGUGUCUGUGAGACACAGUGAUACAAACCACAACCAGAGAUGUACAAAAACAUAUUUUCCAGGGAUUCAUUGUAUAACAGGACUAAUUAAAAUAAAUAGAACAUAGAUGUUUCUCAAUAUGAAAUAUGUAAACGAAUAUAAGCCCAUCAUUAGCAGAGCUGGGAAUGUAUAUCUGAGUUGUUUGCCAAUUAUACUCCUGAUAUGACUUGAAGGUAUUCUAAUUGAUGUCUAUCAAACGUUCAAUGAACUCAUUCAUGAUUCAUUUCUUUAAUGUUUUAAUCAUUCACAUGAUAAAGUUGUCCAGUACCGGACAAGAAGGUCUAAGUUCUGUGGUAUCAAAAAUAUGCAAAUUAUUAUGAUAUAAAUACAGAUAUAUGCAACAAUAUAAAGACUGCGGACAAUUGACACUAAUUGGUUAUGAUACAAAAAAUAUUGUCAGAGUGUAAAGCUCAAUGUAUAAGAGUCCUGCCUAACAUUAUCCUCCAGCAUCAGUCUGUUUUUUUCACGGAGAACACAUUAGACUAUGUAUAGCUUGCACAGCUAUUACGUAUUUUUUCCCCUCCAGAUAUUCCCAUUAAUUAUAUAUAUCCUCUACUUAUGCAAAUUCUACCCAGCCUCUCUUCCUUUCUCUCCCUCUACCUCCUAUAUAAAACCUCUCUGUAUCUGAGAAUCCCUGCACGUCCCUCUGAGUCCUGGAGAGUAGAGAAGAGCAACUCACACCAGUUCAGCUUCAGCACAAAUCAUGUUCCCUGCAUCUCUGCUGCUGAUGCUGGCAGCUGCCUCCUGUGUCCACUGUCAGGUCGUACUCACACAGGCUGAACAGUCAGUCCAGGGGAGCCCCGGGGGAUCCCUCAAACUCCUGUAGUGUGCCUGUAGUGGAUUUACUCUAAGCAGCACUAAUAUGUACUGGAUCCGCCAGGCACCUGGAAAAGGACUUGAAUGGAUUGUUUACUAUUAUUCUGACAGUGACAAGAGCAAUGCCCAGGUAGUACAGAGUAGAUUCACAGCGUUGAAGGACAGCAGUAAUUUCUAUCUCCACAUGAGCCAGUUGAAGCCAGAGGACUCUGCAGUGUAUUACUUUGCUAGAGACUCACUAUGGUUAAACUAAUGAGAAUAGUUGUACAAAAACCAUCUGGUAGAGAAAGGAAGGACGUGUACAAACACAUGACAAGGGGAAACAUAAGGAACAAUUCUAAUGAUGUAUUAAAUAAUAACACAAUGAUACACCUGUUAAAUACAUGGUGCUAGUGUUGUUGAUGCACCAACAGGGGCCCCUCUCUCUCCAUAUGAUUAAAAUAAAGACCAGUACUGAUGAAGGGUGUGCUAUUUCAUUUUAUUACAGGAAAAAAAUAUAUAAUAUGGAUGGAUGUUGAUUAAAUAUACUUUACAGUUUGUCAAGAUGAAAGUAAAGUGUCUUAAAUAUGUUUCAUUCACCUUAAGUAUUAACUAAUACUUGAAUGUAGUGUUUCAUAUCCCCCCUUCACAUUCAAAAAUAUAACCGAUAGAGGGUCUCUGGCUUAGGUUGUGUCCAGUUAUAGAUGUAAUGCAUCAAUACAUCAAUGCAACCCACAGCCAUUCAUACAUGUUUGUCUCUUUGUAUACAGGACACCAAACAAUGUGUUACGUCAGUUGUUUUACCAUUGUGUUAGUCAGUUGUUUUCCUAUUG
Non-coding RNA from Oncorhynchus mykiss (rainbow trout), 2330 nucleotides. NCBI's taxonomy places the organism in Eukaryota, Metazoa, Chordata, Actinopteri, Salmoniformes, Salmonidae. The record is from RefSeq and is a predicted model, not a curated record.